CCUACGGGUGGCAGCAGUGAGGAAUAUUGGUCAAUGGCCGAGAGGCUGAACCAGCCAAGCCGCGUGCGGGAAGAAUGUCCUAUGGAUUGUAAACCUCUUUUGUCAGGGAGCAAAGUCACCCACGUGUGGGUGUUGGAGAGUACCUGAAGAAAAAGCAUCGGCUAAGCCCGUGCCAGCAGCCGCGGUAAUACGGAGGAUGCGAGCGUUAUCCGGAUUUAUUGGGUUUAAAUGGUGCGUAGGCGGGUUAUCAAGUCAGCGGUAAAAUCGUGGAGCUCAACUCCAUCCAGCCGUUGAAACUGGUGAUCUUGAGUGGGAGAGAGGUAUGCGGAAUGCGUGGUGAAGCGGUGAAAUGCAUAGAUAUAACGAAGAACUCCGAUUGCGAAGGCAGCAUACCGGCGCCCAACUGACGCUGAAGCACGAAAGCGUGGGUAGCGAACAGGAUUAGAUACCCUGGUAGUC
Molecule: ribosomal RNA, 459 nt
Filed under: uncultured bacterium
Lineage: Bacteria
Description: partial 16S ribosomal RNA
Rfam family: Bacterial small subunit ribosomal RNA
Source: RNAcentral